RNAcentral lists this ribosomal RNA (253 nucleotides) under uncultured bacterium. RNAcentral describes it as "partial 16S ribosomal RNA". It matches the Rfam family "Bacterial small subunit ribosomal RNA", at positions 524 to 776 of the family's 1533-position model. The record is from RNAcentral.
GACGAAGGGGGCUAGCGUUGUUCGGAAUUACUGGGCGUAAAGCGCGCGUAGGCGGACCUGCAAGUCGGGGGUGAAAGCCCGAGGCUCAACCUCGGAACUGCCUUCGAUACUGCGGGUCUCGAGUCCGGGAGAGGUGAGUGGAAUUCCUAGUGUAGAGGUGAAAUUCGUAGAUAUUAGGAAGAACACCAGUGGCGAAGGCGGCUCACUGGCCCGGUACUGACGCUGAGGCGCGAAAGCGUGGGGAGCAAACAGG